UCUUUUCUUUUGAUAAAAGGGUUUUUGAAACCAAUGUUAUUUUUGCAAGUUUAAAAAAUUUUGUGUAUUAAGUUUUUUAUUGUUGGCAUUAAAUAGCUUUAUUAAACUUAAGCUUAGAUCAUUUUGGGGGUUUAGCUCAGUUGGCUAGAGCAUCGGCUUUGCAAGCCGAGGGUCAAGGGUUCGAGUCCCUUAACCUCCAUUGGGCAUGUGCCUUGAAUUGUGAUUCAUUAUGUUUUCAAGCACUUUUAUUAAAGUAGUUAUUUGAAUGCAAAACAGAGUAAGUUAAGAUUUCUGGGUUAAAGUUAGGAUCCGUUUGUUGAUAUUAAUAAGAAUGCCUAGAAGCGAAAGCAAACUUUCGAUAAAAAUCGAAGUUGUUUCUCUAGAGCACAAGGAUUAAACAGUAUUAUAUUUUCCAACAGUCCAUUCUAUAAACGAGCUGCAUUUGUUACUAGAUUUUAGUUAGAAAUUGAUAUGUAUUUCCAGUUGUGAUAUCUGAAGGGGAGAGUAAGUAUUGCAGAGAGCCGUCACCCUUGUUAUCUUUGCUAGUAUGUAAGGAUAUUCUGGACAAGACUGUUAGUUAUAAGUUAAAAGAAAGCCAAGUUUGUGCUAAAUCACAAUGUUUCUUGUGUCCUAGAUUAUAAGCUUGCCGUAAUAGCCUAAAAAAGCUAAGCAAAAUGCCAUAAAUCAGAUUUCAGUUUGAAUUUGCCUGGUAUUCAAUGUUAUGAAGCUAGAAUCGCUAGUAAUUAGUAUAUGCUUUAAUAUAGAAAUUUAAUAAAAUUUUGUUGUUUUUAUUAAUUAUAGUUUAAGU
This 808-nucleotide transfer RNA is filed under the name Borreliella americana. RNAcentral's name for it is "partial 16S-23S ribosomal RNA intergenic spacer". The stretch from base 126 to 199 matches the Rfam family "tRNA". The record is from RNAcentral. Lineage: Bacteria; Pseudomonadati; Spirochaetota; Spirochaetia; Spirochaetales; Borreliaceae.